CUGGACUGAGCUGCAGCGACCCGCAAUGCCGCGCCAUGAGGGACACACGGCUUCCUUCGAGAGCUGCUGCCGUGGGGGGCUGGCUUUGAGGGCGCCUGCCUGCCUUCGGGCCGUGUCCGCGGGACUGUCUGCGUCGGUGGGUAGGUUCCAUAUCACAUCCCCGUGUGCCGCCUUACUUCCUGCUUCGAGAAUGUAUAACGUGGAAAUCCACGGGACCAAGUUUCUGCAGAGGCCUUGCCGGGUGGUUCCAUAACUGUAGAGUCGAAUUAAUCGUUCAGUUGAGAGUACUGGUGACGUUUCAAAGCAAAUGAACCACCGUAGUUUUCACAGAACCAUAUCAUGGAGGUUUGUAGUUAGCGCUUAUUUUUGCGUGUUGAUGUUGACUAGCUAAUAAACUCUAAAUGUAAACCAUGGAA
Long non-coding RNA from Cebus imitator (Panamanian white-faced capuchin), 416 nucleotides. RefSeq lists it as uncharacterized. Lineage: Eukaryota; Metazoa; Chordata; Mammalia; Primates; Cebidae. The record is from RefSeq and is a predicted model, not a curated record. The transcript has a single exon.